CAGCCGCCGCGGGAAUACGAAGGGGGCUAGCGUUGUUCGGAUUUACUGGGCGUAAAGGGUGCGUAGGCGGAUUGUUAAGUCAGGGGUGAAAUCCCGAGGCUCGACCUCGGAACUGCCUUUGAUACUGGCGAUCUUGAGUCCGGGAGAGGUGAGUGGAACUGCGAGUGUAGAGGUGAAAUUCGUAGAUAUUCGCAAGAACACCGGUAGCGAAGGCGGCUCACUGGCCCGGUACUGACGCUGAGGCACGAAAGCGUGGGAGCAAACAGGAUUAGAUACCCCUGUAGUCCCUGUCUCUUAUACA
This 301-nucleotide ribosomal RNA is filed under the name uncultured bacterium. RNAcentral describes it as "partial 16S ribosomal RNA". It matches the Rfam family "Bacterial small subunit ribosomal RNA", at positions 509 to 808 of the family's 1533-position model. The record is from RNAcentral.